Molecule: ribosomal RNA, 119 nt
Organism: Lepisosteus oculatus (spotted gar)
Lineage: Eukaryota; Metazoa; Chordata; Actinopteri; Semionotiformes; Lepisosteidae
Source: Ensembl
GCCAGCAGCCAUAUCACCCUGGAACUCACAACUGGCAACCCACUGAAGCUAAGCAGGUGUGAGCCUGGUCAGUACCUGGAUGGGAGACCACCUGGGAAAAACUAAGGUUGCUGCUGGAA